AGGUCGUGCUGGGGAUGCUUGCAAACCCCGGUAACAGUGGCUCACACCUUUGCCAGGGUGCUCGAGCCAUUGUUCGACCGUGGAGAAGUGGCACAUCUUUGUCGCAACAUACCUCUCCUUGGGGCGGCAUCUCGCUUCCGCACUGCCCCUUGUGCACGCUGGUCCCAGUGCUCAGAACGGUCCCAAAGGGACCACCGUCCUUGUUACAGAGCACUUUCACACCAUGUGAAGGGCCUCUUGGUUCUUUUCAACUCAUAUCUCUUCCUGGGUUAAACGUCUCCGUUUCCCUCUGCCGUUCUUUAUCAUAUGUUGUAACUUUUAGAAUUCUUGACAUCUGAGUUGUCUCCCCUCUGAAAAUCCUAUGGCCUAACAACACAUUUCCCAAGAGAUGACACCAGAAGAAGGCUUAGGACACCCUAAGCCGUACGGGGUCCACGGGAUCACAGGGUAGCGUGUUACUGUCACCUGCCUAUGUCUGGAGCCUGUAUCCCAGCUGCCACAGCUAAAAGUAAGGCUGCGAAUUUCUUAUGGACAGGAACUGGCCUCGGUCACAGCAGGCAGAAGAGUAAAUGAAUAAGGUUGUCCGAGUGCUUUUUAACAACAGCAGCCACACUUCACAAAGCACUGCUAAGAAAGCAUUUCCCCUUCCCCUUUGCAGUCAGAUGGCUCCCUGGACUCCAGCAGGUCUCUGUCUCCCCUUUUCAGGUCAAACAGCAUCUUUCCAGCUCCACUGCUGAUGCCACUCUGGCCACCUGAGAUCACCGCAAGUUCUCCUUGUCUUCCAGAACUCCAGCCACACCACCCGGUCCUGUGCCGCACGCAGACCUGAAGAGCGUGUGGUCUACUCUUCCUACAGGGACUAAUAUGUCUGAAGAAAUGCUGUUUGGAUAAUCAUUGUUCCUGUUCAUCACAUGCAUUGAGAACCAUGCUGAGAAUACCACGGAAUACAGCCUGCGUUACAACAGCGUGAGUCUACUGCUCACAGAGCUGUCUCUGACCGUCGCCCCUCUGUCAGACGUGAGUGACUGCACCUCAAUGGACCGGCUGAAAAAUAGGAGGGGCCCCACUGUCAGCACUGAUAGGGGCUGCAAAGCCUCACAGCCGCCGCUCCUGGGGUCCCUUCCUGCUCUGAAAUCUGCAGCAGUUCCAUCUGGCAGAGUUUUCAAAGUUCUUCCCUGUUUCUUCAUCUUCCGGGGGCCGAACUGCCGUUGGGUCUGACGCCUCUCCCAGCCUCCACCUGUUCUCGCCUCACUUUACCUCACAGAUGUGUCCCCUGAUGAACUUCCCUGACACCUGCUUCUCGGAGGACCUGUAUCGACACGUUGUCUAAUUCAGUCUCCCCAAACUUAGGAGCUAUUGAUGACUAUAAGAAAUUGAGCCUCGCGGAUUUUGAAGUAUGCAUUCAGGUCACCCUGCCAGUGAGUGGCAGUCUUCCAACCCACCUCCGUCUCUUGACUCGUCUCAUUGUGCCACACUGUCUAGGACAGCUUACUGUACAUGUAUGUUUCUUCUUUAUGUGCUACUUUGCCAGUUGACAAGUUCUAUGGUAGAAAAAGGAAUAGGUAAAGAUUAGCCUACAGCUCUCUGCCAAAAGGGAAAACAAAAAAACAAAAACAAAAAAAGAUCUGGAAGGCAAGUUGUUAAUAUAAAACGUUCACCCUUUUUCUAGAGGAACUUACAAUUUAAGCUUCCCUGUACGUGUCACUGACAGGGAGCUGUCUGGCUACAUGAAUAUGUUGUUUUUCUUUUUUUUUUCUCCCUACACCCCUUUUUAGGUAAUUCAGAGCUGCAAGUGCUGAAUCUAUUUUUCAGAGAUAACAUGCGAAUUUGUGACAUUCCCUGUGGAGUUUGAGGUCUGGGAACCUAGGAAGAGAUCACAACGAAACACAAGCAUCGCUUCCAAGUGCUAGAGUGAUUAUUGUCUGGAAGUCUUAGCGUUAUUUAAAAGGCAGCUUCUUCUCAUUUGGAUCAGGCAACGGUGUGUUUUCUGAAGGCGAGAAGGCCUUUCUAUAAAAGCCAGUACAGAGUGGGGCUGCAGGCUGCUUGUGUUGCAGCAGAGGCCAGCGGCAAAAGCCACGGUAGCCGCUUCAGGGAAGCACCAGCAAGUGGAACCGAUGCCUAAUGAAUGGAGGGCCCAGUGGGGAAGUGAAGAAAACAAAGGGAGACUUUUUUUUUUCCCCCUCAUUUCCCCCACCCCCACCCACCACUUUUUUAUUCCAGGAAAGAAAAGUAGUUUACUGCGAUUCAUUCCCACACCUGGUGAAGGUUCAAGAGGACAGGGAGCCUGAGGACCUUCACCUGAAUGGCUUCUUGAAAGAUGCUGUGUUCAGAUCUUUGGUGCUAGAAGAACACCGACUCUUCUCCCUCUUUGCUUCGCAGGGCCUCCUUUCAUGUGAUUUAGAAAAUGUAUUCUUCUCAGAGCUAUGCCACCGGUCUUGUGCUCCUGCUACCCAUCCGUUCCCUCUAUUUCUCUGGUCGGGGCCCCAAGCAAGAGCAGGCACCUCGAUCACUGAGUCAUUUCCUCAGAUGAGUCUACCGCAGAAUCUUAGCUCUUGGAUGGAGGCCCCCACUGUUGGUCUUCUGCCUCAACAUUCCUUUUAACUGAAUGGUGUCCCGCUUGCCUCUCCAGUUCGUCUCUCGUGGCUUCUUCACACCAAAACAAAAGUGCUUUCUGUUCUAGAAGCUUCCAUUUUCCCUAUGCCACAUGCCUUUGCCCACGCUGUUUCUUCCCCCAGUAGCGUCCUGUGCCCCUUGCUAACUCCCUUGCUCUCUGCCCAUUUGGUGCGUGUUUAAUUCCAGGAAGACGGCGUUCAAGUGAAACCUCCGCGAAGCCUUCCAUGACAUCUCCAAACUCGAUUAGUUACUUCAUUCUCUGCAUGUGACGGUAAUUUUGUUUAGCGGAAAUUAAUUUUGCUUCUCUGUGAAGAUACAGAUUCACAUUCAGUAGAUUUUCUGAGUGACUACUAAGUGCCUGGCACUGGAAUGAUCACUUUCACAUACUGCACUUUUCGAAUUUCUUUUUGGUGAAGAGACCAGAGAACAUGAGCCUUUUGGAUUGAGAUGCACUAGUAUGGUAUUGUGAAAUUACUCUUGACUCUUCAGAAGAAGGAAUGGGUAUACAUAUGAGGGGCAUUUUUAGUCACUUCUAAUUUGAUAAAAAAAACAACACAACAAAAUCUUUGUUGUUCGAGGUCUCUGACUUCCCCAGAAGUUUUGGGGAAAAUCGUGAACCCCGCUUCCAGUGACCCUCUGCCACACGAGGACACAUAUUAAUGAUCUCUGUAGGUCUCUUUGGAAGGUGCAUUAUGUUAUCACACUUGCCGUGAGCUCUGGGGGCCUCCAGACUCCCUGAGUGGCAGUAGGCAUAGGCCCUGCCCCGUCCCACUCUGCAUGGCCACCUGAGCCAUGAGCAACCCAAUCUCAGUCACUCCUUCUUGUAAGGUUGUAAGUAACAGCCAGCAUAUCUGCAGAAUGCAACAAGUACCACUGUUUAAUGUGUAUAGGAUUUUUGACAUGCUAAUUACAUCCUGCUCCAAGCCGUGAGGCGUAGGUGAUCAGCUCCGUGAAACAAUCAACAGUCGGAAAAAUAGCUUUUAUUUUUCACAGAGAUGACUGUGAAAAAACAUGUUUUGCUGUUGAUAACUCUGCUUUUAGUUGAAAACACAGAGCACAGGCUGGUAAACUAUAGCCUAUGAGUGAGCCCGUUCUGUUGUUUCUUUUCACAUGUAAAGGUUUAUUGGAACACAGCCAGGCCAUGUGCUUACAUAUUGCCCGUGACUGCUUUCACAUUAUAAACACAGAGUUGAGUGGUUGCAGAGAGGUUGGAUAACCCACAGAGACUAAACUACUCACUGCUUCGUCCUUUGCAGAAAAAGUGUGCCGAUCCCUGACACGGCAAUGCAGAGUUCUUCCAGAAACCAUCAAGGCAAACUCUCCAACAGCAAGUCCUUACCAAAAGCCUGAUUGCAAGAAUAUUUUUCUCUCAGAUCUUAGUAUCAAGAAAGUUGGGCUUGCUCUUGAGCCACUGGUGAGUUUGUAAUCUUCUGGGCUCUCUGAGUCCUGGAAUGGACAGUGUCUUUCUUUCAGUUUUGGCUACGAGCACUUCCUGAACCAAAAUUGCCCACCUUCUCUGUAGGUCGUAUCGAUCUCUACUCACUUUCAGCUUGACCUCUCUUAAAUCCUCUUGGCUCUGAUUACCUGUUAAUUUUCACCUGAUAGUCUUUAUGGACAUAAUUGGUGGCAAAAGAUUAGGUCUAAAUAAAUAUGUAAGUAUGUACAUAAA
Herpailurus yagouaroundi (jaguarundi) is the source of this 4282-nucleotide long non-coding RNA. RefSeq lists it as uncharacterized. The record is from RefSeq and is a predicted model, not a curated record. Lineage: Eukaryota; Metazoa; Chordata; Mammalia; Carnivora; Felidae. The transcript has 4 exons.